This 906-nucleotide ribosomal RNA is filed under the name uncultured archaeon. RNAcentral describes it as "bacterial SSU rRNA". It matches the Rfam family "Archaeal small subunit ribosomal RNA", at positions 21 to 903 of the family's 1478-position model. The record is from RNAcentral.
CCUCACUGCUAUCGGGGUGGGACUAAAACAUGCAAGUCGAGCGCCUCCAAGCUAUGGUGAAGGCGCGGCAUACGGCUCAGUAACACGUGGCCAACCUACCCUUGGGACGGAGACAACCCCGGGAAACUGGGGCUAAUCCCCGAUAGGUAAGGAAUCCUGGAAUGGAUCUUUGCUGAAAGGGCGUCUAGACCAUGCUUCUUGACGUCGCCCAAGGAUGGAGCCGCGACCGAUCAGGUAGUUGGCGAGGCAACGGCUCACCAAGCCUAUAACCGGUACGGGCCGUGAGAGCGGGAGCCCGGAGAUGGGCACUGAGACAAGGGCCCAGGCCCUACGGGGCGCAGCAGUUGCGAAAACUCCACAAUGCACGAAAGUGCGAUGGGGCUACCCCGAGUGCCGUCCGCUGAGGACGGCUUUUCCACGGUGUAAGGAGCCGUGGGAAUAAGGAGAGGGCAAGACUGGUGUCAGCCGCCGCGGUAAUACCAGCUCUCCGAGUGGUGAGGACGAUUAUUGGGCUUAAAGCGUUCGUAGCCGGCUUAACAAGUCUUCCGUUAAAUCCAACGAUCUAAUCGUUGGGCCGCGGAAGAUACUGUUGGGCUAGGAGGCGGGAGAAGCCGACGGUAUUCCCGGGGUAGGGGUGAAAUCCUGUAAUCCCGGGAGGACCACCAGUGGCGAAGGCGGUCGGCUAGAACGCGCUCGACGGUGAGGGACGAAAGCUGGGGGAGCGAACCGGAUUAGAAACCCGGAUAGUCCCAGCUGUAAACGAUGCGGGCUAGGUGUUGGGGUGGCCACGAGCCACCUCAGUGCCGCAUGGAAGCAAUUAAGCCCGCCGCCUGGGGAGUACGGCCGCAAGGCUGAAACUUAAAGGAAUUGGCGGGGGAGCACCACAAGGCGUGAAGCUUGCGGUUU